Molecule: ribosomal RNA, 505 nt
Filed under: uncultured bacterium
Lineage: Bacteria
Description: partial 16S ribosomal RNA
Rfam family: Bacterial small subunit ribosomal RNA
Source: RNAcentral
ACUCAAAGGAAUUGACGGGGGCUCACACAAGCGGUGGAGGAUGUGGCUUAAUUCGAGGCUACGCGAAGAACCUUAUCCUAGUCUUGACAUGCAUGGAUUAACUCCGUGAAAGCGGAGCCACACUCUUUGAGUGGAACAUGCACAGGUGCUGCAUGGCUGUCGUCAGCUCGUGUCGUGAGAUGUCGGGUUAAGUCCCUUAACGAGCGAAACCCUUGUCGCUAGUUGCCAGCGAGUAAUGUCGGGGACUCUAGCGAGACCGCCGGCGUUAAGCCGGAGGAAGGCGGGGAUGACGUCAAGUCCUCAUGGCCUUUAUGACUAGGGCUGCACACGUCCUACAAUGGCGCGCACAAAGGGAAGCGAACCCGCGAGGGCAAGCAAAUCCCAAAAAUCGCGCCUCAGUUCGGAUUGCAGGCUGCAACUCGCCUGCAUGAAGCCGGAAUCGCUAGUAAUCGCGGGUCAGCAUACCGCGGUGAAUGUGUUCCUGAGCCUUGCACACACCGCCCGU